CAGUCGCCACGGUAAUACGAAGGGUGCAAGCGUUACUCGGAAUUACUGGGCGUAAAGCGUGCGUAGGUGGUCGUUUAAGUCUGUUGUGAAAGCCCUGGGCUCAACCUGGGAACUGCAGUGGAAACUGGACGACUAGAGUGUGGUAGAGGGUAGCGGAAUUCCUGGUGUAGCAGUGAAAUGCGUAGAGAUCAGGAGGAACAUCCAUGGCGAAGGCAGCUACCUGGACCAACACUGACACUGAGGCACGAAAGCGUGGGGAGCAAACAGGAUUAGAUACCCCCGUAGUCCCUGUCUCUUAUAC
Molecule: ribosomal RNA, 301 nt
Filed under: uncultured bacterium
Lineage: Bacteria
Description: partial 16S ribosomal RNA
Rfam family: Bacterial small subunit ribosomal RNA
Source: RNAcentral